CUUGCACUUGCGAGGCAGGCAUGGCACCACUGAGCUAAAUCCCCAGCCCUGUGUCAUUCAUGAUCCAAAAUAACUGAGUACCUUAAUCAUAUAUGAGAACCAUCUAUGUGCUUUUAAAAAAAUUUGUUUAAAACACAUUUGCUAUGUCUGCCUUCUUGGAAAACUGGCUUUAAUCAUACAAUUCCAAAUAAAAGAUAUUUGGCAUUAAAAAAUAGCAUUUGGAGAAAAGUAAAUGAUUCAGUUUCUAGUAAUCACGUAUAAAAGCUCCAAUGUAAGGGAUGUGCCCAGCCCCGGUCUCGUCCCAUGUAUCACUGAAGGCGAUACUUACUGAUGCAACCUCUUUGGGAAACGGUAUUGCAGUAUAUGUUAGGAUGGCUUAUAUGAAAUUACCUGUAUUUGAUUUGUCUAGAACAACAGAACCGGCAACAUCAUGUCAUUUAACUUGAAUAUAUCAAAAACCUCAAAGACUGUCAACACCCGUACUGUCAGGAAUUGCACUGCUGGGCCUAAGAUGUAAAUUCUUUUUCUCUUUCUGCCUCUCCCCUCAUCUUCUCUGUCACACGUGUGUACACGCACGUUUUUAAGUGAAAUCUGUGGGGAUAUACUUGUAUGUGUGUGUGUGUGUACUGCCUGAGGUAGCCCGUCUCUAAGAUUUUAGAUCUUGUAUCCUAGUAUUUGUACCCUCGUGUGGUCCCCCUCCCACAGCAUGCCUGGGUCCAGCAGAGGUCACUACUGAGAGGAAAGGGAACAGGCACAAGUGUUCUCUCACUCUCUCCCCACUCCCUUUUCUGGUCACUUGCUGUAGGGGACACCAAUUGCCAUGUCUUGAGGACACUUAGGGAGCACUGAAGCCCCAAAAGCCAGCUAGAAACAGGCUUUCUGGCACCCACGGGGGAGAGUUUGGAAGCAGACCCUCCCCCCAGUCAGGCCUUCAGGUGACUGCAAGCCCAGCGGAGCGCCUGAUGGCACCUUCGCAAGAGACUCUGAGGCCCAGCCACCCAGCCAAGCUGUUGUUGGAUUCCUGACCAACAGAAACUGAGGUAAUAAGUGCUGAUGUUUUCAAGUGCUGAGAUUUGGGUCAUUAGAUACAUAACAAUAGCUAAAUAUGUAAUCUGAAUGCAAAAGAGAUUCAUUAUACAUUAAAAUGGUAAACAACCAAACCAAAAGCUAAGUAAAUACCCUAAUGUGGGAGACUGACGAAGCUGACCAGCUGACUGGCAAAUUUACUUGCAGGAUACUAGGCAGUGUUAAAAUGUUCAGUUAGCUCUAUCCUUAUCCACCCGGGAAAUAGGAAGCCCAUGAGAGAGGGUGCAAGGAAUCGGGGAGGCACAGUAAGAGCUGACCAGUGACCACUUUUAUAAAACGUGAUGCAAACUUUUAAACCUCCCAGUGUUUUAUUUUGUUCAAUUUUUCUAUUUUUCUCUUUCCUUUGUCUGCUCUUAAGGGGAAUUUCGUUCGAGUACCUGUAGCCUUAUACUGUUCAGCUUUCUCCAUCUGACUGAGUUUCCUGAAGACAGGGUCUUCUUACCUAGCUCUUUGAAACAAAGAAUGAAUACUAGUAGAGUCUGAAUAGUAAAAUACAUAUUUCUCCUGUUAUAGCUUGUUAAAAUAGAAUGUAAAAUUAUAGGCAGAGUGGAACUAAAACUAUGGUUACAAUGCUAGAGAAAGCAGAUAAAAGACCUAGAUACAGGAAGCAUAUUUUAUAAAGCCCUGAUUUCAGUUCAUUUAUUCUGUUCUUUUUAAGGGCACUCCAGACCUUCUGUGAUUUUGCUUUAUUCAAAUGUGGUGGUGGUGGAGUUGGAGACAAAAAAUACUGUAAAUUCUCUCCUUUUAUUUUUCAAAGCCAUACCUAAGUCUUUAUCACUUCCAACUUUCUCUGGUCUCUCCUUGACUUUUCCUUACCAUGCUUUGAAGCUGCCUUUAAAAAAAAAAAUACUUUAGUCCUGUAAGUGCACCGUCCACCCAUCUGAUUAUAAUUUCUAACUGAACUCCCAUUAACUUCACAUCAAUGACCUAUUUGGCUCACUUGGCUUUUUAAAAGGAGCCAGAACUAUUUAAUCUUCAAAGCAAAUGUAAGUAUGUUAACUCUUAAGCUCUCAAACACUCGAUCCAUGUGUUAAGGCUAAACCAGUGGCUCUGAAGACAGGGUGGAGGAAAGCAAGGUGAAAAUGAUGAGUGUAGGAAAAGUGACAUUUGUGAGUGUGAGAGAAAUGUCACACGAGACCUUCUCAUAAUAUACAAAUUCCCUCUGCAUGCUUUUCUUACUUCUACCUGCAAAUUGGAAAUGUCAAUCACUCAGCUCAAGUUAACAGUUCGUGUGAGUCAUUGUUACGUAUGGAUGUUGCCUCAGACGUGAGGUGAGGAGCAAGCGUUCCAUGGUCGUCUCCAUGGUGACGGCCAAUGCUGCCUGUCGCAGGUCAUUCACCCCCGGUUAUCCUCCCCCACUGUACCAGUAAACCAUAGCAGAAGUGGUGGCCUGCCACUGCCGAGGUCAGACCGAAACUCUCUUAGCUGUUGUCUUGGGUCCGCUCUUUUGGGUCCCUCACUUUGCGGAAAGCCUCCUCAGAAUGGCCCAUGGAGAAACUGCAUGGCGUGGAACCGAUUCCUCCUGACACCCCUGAGCGUGCUCGGAAGUGGAUCCUCAGAGGGCACCAGACACCUCGAUUGUAGCUGAGAGGUCCCGAGCCUGAACCACCCAGCUAGGACACAGCAACUAUGGAACAGUAAAUGUUGAUGGUUUUAAACUUCUAAGUUGGGUAUGACUCAUUACACAGCAGGAGAUUCCUAUACCAGGUAUGAAUAACAAGUUAGGCUAAAAAAACUAAACAAAAUUUCUUUUGCUUUGGACAUGCCGUUACGGAAAUCAUACUAGAGUAUAGUGAACAAAUAGUCAGCUUUGGCAACUGCAGCACCAUAGUUUGUUAUUGUACUUUUACCUAAUCACGAAUUUAGUUGAAUGGGGUUACUUGUUAAGAUUAAUAUCAUAAAUGGUAGCCCAGUUUUACAUUUUUAACCCACUAUUUUCAAAAGGGUCUGAAGUGAUACAGUUAUGUUUUUAUGGCUGUUUGCCCAAACCAGCCAGGCUGAGCACAGUGGCCCAUACCUGUAAUUUCAGCAUUCUAGAAGGCUGAGGCAAGAGGAUUGCUAGUUUGAGCCCUGCCUAGGUGAUUUAGUGGGAUCUUGUUUUAGAAGGGGCUGGGGAUGCAAGUUGGUAAGAAGGCCCCGGGAUCCAUCCCUAUUAUGGGGUAGGGAUCUAGCACCAAAGGUAGAGAGAUAGCUCAGUGGUACAGUGCUUGACUAAAAGAUGGGACUGGUCUUAUCUUCAGGUGUGAAAAACGGCACCUUUACACUGAUAAAUAGGCCGCCUAAGUGCAAAGAAGUGAUCAAUUUGGACUUUCUUGUAUUUUUGAAUGAAAUAGAUAAAAACAAUUUUAUAGGGCUUAGAAGAUAGUUAAAAGCAAUGCUGGAAAAUUAAAAAGCAGUAAAUUAGAGUUCCAGAGCUUUUUAUUUCUAAUGUUCAAGUUGAGUGCUAGAUACAUUUUUUCCUUUUUCUCUCAUUGGCAGCCUCUUCAUUUUGACUUGUCAUGAGUUCUCAGAAUCAUUCAAUUUUGCUCCAGUUUUUCUCCCCUACACUGCCAUCAUGAGCGAGAAAAUUGAGGGUUGGGGAGAGAAACACUUUGCCUGCUGGGCUGUUGGUCUUCAGGCGAAUGCAGCAUCAAAGGAGAGAUUGCUUCUGACAAUCUGACAAGCCCGUUACACUGCCAGCACCAGGUCCUUUCAGCUCUCUGUCAGAUUGCAAAACACAGUGGAUCUGGCAGAAAUGGUUGUUGAAGCGGAGAUUUUUCCAAUUGUACUUUCCUGUCUGAAGAACAAAGAUGAACACGUGAAGAAAGAUGCUUGCCCUUUAAAGAGAUUGCAAAACAUAUACCUGAGGUCUUAAAUAAAAUAUGGCCACAUAGAAGAGCAUCUUAUGCUUGCUGUGCCCAUUAUUUAGCUCUUGUUCUUGGCCUCUUAGCUUUCGCAGCUGAUCGUUAGCACGGGAGGGGAGGCCACAGGGGCUGACUGCAGAGGGAGCAUCCAGCUGCCUGGCAUCGUGACGCCUGCGGUCCCGGCUCUCAUCCCCGGACCGGCAACGGUGGUGAUCAUUUCCGAGUUGCGUUCUUGCUUCAUCUCUCCUAAUUACUGCAGUAAGACAGAACCACGGGUUGAUGAUAUUCCCCACGAAUUACAAACAUAACCGGCUGCGGCAAAGGACUUUCAGUUGUUUUAAUGCUUAUUCUAUUGCUAUUAGUAAAGUCUCUCAAAUCAAUCAUUGAAGAAAGGUUUCAGUUAUGGGAAAUUUAAAGUUUCACUCAGUGUUUCUUAUGAACAAAAUACCUGUUUUGAGCAUUGCUAUCAUCUAAACUUAAAUAUUAAGUAUGCUCGUAUCUUGAAGAAUUAGUCGUACACAUUUCUAGACAUGUAAAGCAGAGUUUGGUUUAAAACAAGUAUUUAAAUGACACGCCCAGGAGUCAUCUUCACCAUGCCGAGAUCCGCUUUCUUUCAGUCAGGUGUCACAGACUAAUUUCUCUUUUUAGACCUAGACAGUCAGAACACACAUCGGAAACAGAAUUUUUGUUUCCCGCAGUUUGUCUUACCGCAAUGCACAGCUUCAUAGGAACGUGCACCGUGUAACGAAGCGGUCACACCAGUCUCCCGAAGAGCGUGUCUAAGGCCCCGUGUGCUCCUAGUACGGUGCGGGACCCUCUCAGGUGUGGCUUAUCAGCGUGGAAAACCUGCUGCUGUAUGUGAAACAGAAAUGUGGGUGUUUCUUUUUUAUCCCUUGUUAAUCGUCAGCAGAAAAAGCCUCAGAUCUUCAUUUUUCUACCGACUCCAGGGUGAUUCUUUGCUUCAGUCCCUUUUAUCCUGCUCUAGAUUUACGGCGCUUGCUCCUUUACGCUGUUCCUUUUCUUUUGCUCUUCUGUUCCUGCCGGCUGUGACAGUGACUAGAACAGCAGUGGUGCUUUUGGAAGGGUCACUGCACGGGAGUUUUGAUCCUAAUUUUCUUGUGGAGAGUUGGAAAGGUACUCCACAGCGAGAGUGGCGAGAGGAGCAGCAGUCGCUGGUGCUUCCCACGUCCUGCUCCCCUAACCAGGAGGCCUCUUCUCCUUUGGUCUGGGCUUGCUGCUGGCUGCUCCCACCCGGCUUGUUUUUCAGUUAGUUGGAGAUCAGAGUGGCAGCGGCAGUGCGGCAGUCGCAGCAGUAGGAUAGGUAGGUGACGUUCUCCCUUUUGCUGUGUAGUGCUCUGGGGACUAAUACCGUGCACUUAAGUGACACUUCGAAGCACAUUCACGUUGCUUAUUCUGUUUGCUAAUUGUAACAAACUGAAGCCAGGCUGAACUUUGGGAUCAGGGUGGAGGAGUUGGCUUGCUUUACCUACUGCUUCUUCUGUCUUAUUAUGUCCUAGAAGUUUGAGCUUUCUAGAAAGUUAAUUCAUUCUGCACACAAGCCUUUUUUUUUUUUGGUACCAGGGAUGGAACUCCGGCCCUUGUGCUUGUGAGGCAGUCAGAGGAACCACUGAGCUAAAUCCCUGGCCCAAGCCUGACCUUUGUAUGGCAGAUAAUACAUUUUAGUUUGGUAAGAAAGGAGCCAUGAAGAAAUUAUGGCAGGUUUCUUCAGGAUUAAAUUAAAAGGCGAGGGCCAGGGAUUUAGCUCAGCGGUUCUGCCGCCUGCCUUGCAAGCGCAAGGACCCCAGUUCGAUCCCCGGUACCAAAAAAAUAAAUAAAAAUAAAUAAAUUAAAAGGUGGAGGUGAAAAGUAUAUGAUUUGGUCCUCUGUUAUGGUAGCAAGACCCUGUGAUACUGGUUUUUGUGGUGCAAGUUUGAGUUAAUAAAGCCUCAAAUUAGUUGGAAAAUUAUGGCUAUACAGAAUCUGGAAUUAGAGUUUGAUUUGGGUUGAUUCUUCCUUGGGUAUAUAAACUGUGAUGUAUUUACGGACCUUUUGAUUAUAUUUUUAUUGUUUAGUAAGCAUUUCUACUUUGACGUUUGAUCAUAUUAAAAUGAGAACUAUAACUUAAAA
Molecule: long non-coding RNA, 6056 nt
Organism: Fukomys damarensis (Damara mole-rat)
Lineage: Eukaryota; Metazoa; Chordata; Mammalia; Rodentia; Bathyergidae
Exons: 4
Source: RefSeq, a predicted model, not a curated record